CAGGUACAGCGGGAAGCCAGGCGGCGACGCCGAGCGGAACCCGAAAACCUGUCUCAGUUCGGAUCGGAGUCUGCAACCCGACUCCGUGAAGCUGGAUUCGCUAGUAAUCGCGCAUCAGCCAUGGCGCGGUGAAUACGUUCCCGGGCCUUGUACACACCGCCCGUCAAGCCAUGGAAGCCGGGGGUGCCUGAAGUGUGCAGCCGCAAGGAGCGCCCUAAGGUAAAACCGGUGACUGGGGCUAAGUCGUAACAAGGUAUC
Molecule: ribosomal RNA, 258 nt
Filed under: uncultured bacterium
Lineage: Bacteria
Description: partial 16S ribosomal RNA
Rfam family: Bacterial small subunit ribosomal RNA
Source: RNAcentral